CCUUGACAUACUAAGAACUUUCCAGAGAUGGAUUGGUGCCUUCGGGAACUUAGAUACAGGUGCUGCAUGGCUGUCGUCAGCUCGUGUCGUGAGAUGUUGGGUUAAGUCCCGNAACGAGCGCAACCCUUUUCCUUAUUUGCCAGCGGGUAAUGCCGGGAACUUUAAGGAUACUGCCAGUGACAAACUGGAGGAAGGCGGGGACGACGUCAAGUCAUCAUGGCCCUUACGGCCAGGGCUACACACGUGCUACAAUGGUCGGUACAAAGGGUUGCUACCUCGCGAGAGGAUGCUAAUCUCAAAAAGCCGAUCGUAGUCCGGAUCGCAGUCUGCAACUCGACUGCGUGAAGUCGGAAUCGCUAGUAAUCGCGGAUCAGAAUGCCGCGGUGAAUACGUUCCCGGGCCUUGUACACACCGCCAGUCACACCAUGGGAGUUUGUUGCACCAGAAGUAGGUAGUCUAACCGCAAGGAGGACGCUUACCACGGUGUGGCCGAUGACUGGGGUGAAGUCGUAACAAGGUAGGCGUAGAUGA
Molecule: ribosomal RNA, 531 nt
Filed under: uncultured bacterium
Lineage: Bacteria
Description: bacterial SSU rRNA
Rfam family: Bacterial small subunit ribosomal RNA
Source: RNAcentral